UAAGAAGUACUCCUUGGUGGAGGACAGGUGU
This 31-nucleotide non-coding RNA is filed under the name Mus musculus (house mouse). Lineage: Eukaryota; Metazoa; Chordata; Mammalia; Rodentia; Muridae. The record is from RNAcentral.